Molecule: non-coding RNA, 108 nt
Filed under: Salimicrobium flavidum
Lineage: Bacteria; Bacillati; Bacillota; Bacilli; Caryophanales; Bacillaceae
Description: SAM-I sequence
Rfam family: SAM riboswitch aptamer (S box leader)
About the family: The SAM riboswitch is found upstream of a number of genes which code for proteins involved in methionine or cysteine biosynthesis in Gram-positive bacteria. The SAM riboswitch acts at the level of transcription termination control. The predicted structure consists of a complex stem-loop region followed by a single stem loop terminator region.
Source: RNAcentral
CUCUUAUCCAGAGAGGUGGAGGGACUGGCCCUUUGAAACCUCGGCAACCAUCGUUAUAAAGCGGAAUGGUGCCAAAUCCAGCAAAGCUGAUGCUUUGAAAGAUAAGAG